AUUAGCACACAUAUAUUAUCUUUAAAUUUUCUCAGAAACUUUGCUCUUUUGUAUCCUUUUCCCUCUCCAGCUGCACGGGUUACUAAACUGCUCAAGUAGAUGAGGAAAUUUCAUUUUUUGGCACUGGCUUGGCAUUCUACACUUGAGACUUCUGUUGUAUGAGAACUUGAAGGUGAGAAUCAUAUAUCAAGGCCCAGCUGUGACAGGACACAAUCCUGGCAAGAAUUUGACUCCAGCAAGUUAGAGAAAUUCCACCUGGACUAUGUGUCCCACAAUCAAA
RNAcentral lists this long non-coding RNA (280 nucleotides) under Numida meleagris (helmeted guineafowl). RNAcentral describes it as "lncRNA (ENSNMEG00000018325.1)". Lineage: Eukaryota; Metazoa; Chordata; Aves; Galliformes; Numididae. The record is from RNAcentral.